CAAUCUGCCUUUGGAUGGGGGAUAACAGCCGGAAACGACUGCUAAUACUGCAUGAUGCAGCGGGGUCGCAUGAUUUUGCUGCCAAAGAUUUAUCGUCCAAAGAUGAGCUCGCGUCUGAUUAGCCAGUUGGCGGGGUAACGGCCCACCAAAGCGACGAUCAGUAGCCGGACUGAGAGGUUGAACGGCCACAUUGGGACUGAGACACGGCCCAGACUCCUACGGAAGGCAGCAG
This 232-nucleotide ribosomal RNA is filed under the name uncultured bacterium. RNAcentral's name for it is "partial 16S ribosomal RNA". It matches the Rfam family "Bacterial small subunit ribosomal RNA", at positions 122 to 354 of the family's 1533-position model. The record is from RNAcentral.